UAGCAGGAAGAUAAUGUGGUUUGAUGCAAUGGCCCAACACAAUAGAAGCUAAUGAAUAGAGCGUGUUGCACUCGAGAGACUGCAGUUCAAUUACUGGUGGUGCCAAUCAAGUCAGGAAUAUUAACCAUCGAUGGCUGAAAUUUAUUAAGCUUCAGGCCAAUGUUCAUACAUUUGAAAUGAUGUCAGAGCUCAGAAGACAGAAUCACUUAAUCUCCUACAGAAGACUGAGAAAACAGCUCAUCCUAUCCAACCAGUCAAUGUUGAGUGAUCAUUGGAAGAAAUAUAAUAAAAGAAUUUCAGAUUU
Molecule: long non-coding RNA, 304 nt
Filed under: Homo sapiens (human)
Lineage: Eukaryota; Metazoa; Chordata; Mammalia; Primates; Hominidae
Description: HSALNT0026899
Source: RNAcentral